UGGGGAAUAUUGGGCAAUGGGCGAAAGCCUGACCCAGCAACGCCGCGUGAAGGAAGAAGGCCCUCGGGUUGUAAACUUCUUUUGUCAGGGACGAAGCAAGUGACGGUACCUGACGAAUAAGCCACGGCUAACUACGUGCCAGCAGCCGCGGUAAUACGUAGGUGGCAAGCGUUAUCCGGAUUUACUGGGUGUAAAGGGCGUGUAGGCGGGACUGCAAGUCAGAUGUGAAAACCAUGGGCUCAACCCAUGGCCUGCAUUUGAAACUGUAGUUCUUGAGUGUCGGAGAGGCAGGCGGAAUUCCGUGUGUAGCGGUGAAAUGCGUAGAUAUACGGAGGAACACCAGUGGCGAAGGCGGCCUGCUGGACAAUAACUGACGCUGAGGCGCGAAAAGCGUGGGGAGCAAACAGGAUUAGAUACC
Molecule: ribosomal RNA, 418 nt
Filed under: uncultured bacterium
Lineage: Bacteria
Description: bacterial SSU rRNA
Rfam family: Bacterial small subunit ribosomal RNA
Source: RNAcentral